Molecule: ribosomal RNA, 497 nt
Filed under: uncultured bacterium
Lineage: Bacteria
Description: partial 16S ribosomal RNA
Rfam family: Bacterial small subunit ribosomal RNA
Source: RNAcentral
GACGAACGCUGGCGGCGUGCCUAAUACAUGCAAGUUGAGCGCUGAAGGUUGGUACUUGUACCAACUGGAUGAGCAGCGAACGGGUGAGUAACGCGUGGGGAAUCUGCCUUUGAGCGGGGGACAACAUUUGGAAACGAAUGCUAAUACCGCAUAAAAACUUUAAACACAAGUUUUAAGUUUGAAAGAUGCAAUUGCAUCACUCAAAGAUGAUCCCGCGUUGUAUUAGCUAGUUGGUGAGGUAAAGGCUCACCAAGGCGAUGAUACAUAGCCGACCUGAGAGGGUGAUCGGCCACAUUGGGACUGGGACACGGCCCAAACUCCUACGGGAGGCAGCAGUAGGGAAUCUUCGGCAAUAGACGAAAGUCUGACCGAGCAACGCCGCGUGAGUGAAGAAGGUUUUCGGGUCGUAAAACUCUGUUGGUAGAGAAGAACGUUGGUGAGAGUGGAAAGCUCAUCAAGUGACGGUAACUACCCAGAAAGGGACGGCUAACUACGUG